This 79-nucleotide transfer RNA is filed under the name Candidatus Omnitrophota bacterium. RNAcentral describes it as "Candidatus Omnitrophica bacterium (aquatic metagenome) tRNA-Pro". It matches the Rfam family "tRNA". From Rfam's summary of the family: Transfer RNA (tRNA) molecules are approximately 80 nucleotides in length. Their secondary structure includes four short double-helical elements and three loops (D, anti-codon, and T loops). Further hydrogen bonds mediate the characteristic L-shaped molecular structure. tRNAs have two regions of fundamental functional importance: the anti-codon, which is responsible for specific mRNA codon recognition, and the 3' end, to which the tRNAs corresponding amino acid is attached (by aminoacyl-tRNA synthetases). tRNAs cope with the degeneracy of the genetic code in two manners: having more than one tRNA (with a specific anti-codon) for a particular amino acid; and 'wobble' base-pairing, i.e. permitting non-standard base-pairing at the 3rd anti-codon position. Lineage: Bacteria; Pseudomonadati; Candidatus Omnitrophota. The record is from RNAcentral.
CGGGGCGUGGCGCAGUUUGGCUUAGCGCGCUUGAAUGGGGUUCAAGAGGUCCCGAGUUCGAAUCUCGGCGCCCCGACCA